Molecule: long non-coding RNA, 1179 nt
Organism: Musa acuminata AAA Group (dessert banana)
Lineage: Eukaryota; Viridiplantae; Streptophyta; Magnoliopsida; Zingiberales; Musaceae
Exons: 2
Source: RefSeq, a predicted model, not a curated record
GAAGGAAGAGGAGAAGGGAAAGAAGUAGCUGCGGCUGCGGUUGUGGCAGCUGCAGCUAUGGCAGGGAAAGAGGAAGAGAAAAAGGAAAGGAAGAAGAAGAGAAAGGGAAGGAGAGGAAGAAGAGAGGAAGAGGAGAAGGGGCUGCAGCUGCGGCGAUGGCAGCUGCAGCUGUGGCAGGGAAAGAGAAAAAGGAAAGGAAGAAGAAGAGAAAGGGAAGGAGAGGAAGAAGAGAGGAAGAGGAGAAGGGGCUGCGGCUGCGGUGAUGGCAGCUGCAGCUGUGGCUGGGAAAGAAGAGAAGGAAAGGAAGAAGAAGAGAAAGGGAAGGAGAGGAAGAAGAGAGGAAGAGGAGAAGGGGUGGCAGCUGCGGCAGUGGCAGCUGCAGUUGGAAGAGGAGGAGGAAAUAGAGCAGGGGAGGAAGAAGAGGCUGCGACGUUGAAAUCAGUUUGUUGGAAACUCUGAGUGUGGUGGCUGCGGCCGUGGCUGCGACUCCGGCUGCGGCUGCGACGUUGGCUGCGGUAGCUGCGGCAGCGGUGGUGGCUGCAGUAGCUGCAGUAGCUGCUUUUGGGAAAGAGAAAGAGUAGGAACGAUAGAAGGGAAGAAGGAAAUAGUGCAGUGGAAGGGGGCUGCGGUUGUGACCGCAGUUGCGAUUGUGGCAGCGGCAACGGCGGCGGCUGUGGCAGCUGCGUUUGGGAAAGAAAAAGAAGGAAUGAGAGUAAGAGAGAGCAGGUGAUUGUGCCUCGAUGUUCGACACGUGAUGUAGUUACGAAGAAAGGAAGAAAACGGGAGCACAAAACGAAACAGAGAGAGGACACGGAGGAAAAGUAGAAAGAUUGGACUGGCACCUUCCUUGGAUAUUCAGAUCAAAAUAUUUGAAAGGUCAGCUUGUCACUCUUCGAGAUGUUUGAUUUGGGCUGAGGCAGUGGAUAGCUAUUCAGAAUAAUGGGCAAGUCUGGUUGGUUAUUACGAUAUUGUUGUAUAAGUAUGCCUUGUAUAUAAUGAAAUGUUGUCGAUGAACCGAAAUAGAUAUACUGUGUCCAAGUGUUAGGAGAUCUCUCUUAUUUGGAAUUUCAGAAUGUUAAGUCUAAUUUAUGGUGAUAUUAACUUGUGGUGAAUAGUUGGAGUUCUGAUUGUAUAAUUUAUUUAGCUUGUGGAUUUAUAAAUGUUGUUCAUGUUUGUCAA